This 432-nucleotide long non-coding RNA is filed under the name Olea europaea subsp. europaea. Lineage: Eukaryota; Viridiplantae; Streptophyta; Magnoliopsida; Lamiales; Oleaceae. The record is from RNAcentral.
GUUGCUUGCAGAAAUGUUGUCAAUGUAAACCUCCUAGGUGCGAUCUGCGAGCAUAAGCAGAUUGUCGGCGAAGCAUAAAACUAUUCGAAGGAAACAAAGAAAAAGAAGGCUUGCAUAAAGGUCCCGAACCAUUUCCCAUAUCUAGUCUGGCUAUAGAUUGUUAAUUAGAAGCGUGUGGAUAAAGUGAAUAAAGCAUGAAUUCUUAACCGAAUUGGUUUCUAGAUAGCCAAUAAGGGGCUGUCACAUGUCAUUCUCUAAAAACGACCAAAAUUAUUCCGAUGCUUAAAAGGGAAAUCUAUAAACACACCCUCCCAAUUGAAGGAAGGCGUGCAAUUCAAUUAUCUCCCUCUCAAAUAAAUAUUUCUCCUCUUGUUUUAGUUUAAGCAUCUAUAUUAUUGAAUUUAGGAGGCGAAAACAAGAAUUCGGUGAGAG